Corvus hawaiiensis (hawaiian crow) is the source of this 1148-nucleotide long non-coding RNA. RefSeq lists it as uncharacterized. NCBI's taxonomy places the organism in Eukaryota, Metazoa, Chordata, Aves, Passeriformes, Corvidae. The record is from RefSeq and is a predicted model, not a curated record. The transcript has 3 exons.
AAAAUAUGCUGCUUCCACUGACAAUUGUGGUUACAGUGUAACUUCAACUACUGGACUGUCUUGUUUGAAAUGAAUUGUCAUUGCUGCAUUUUGGAAAACAGUUCUUGAGCCUGAUGGGAGAGGUGCAAGCUUGCAGCACUGUGUGUGUACAUGUCUGCAGUCAGCACGUGACAGUAGAAGAUGUAAAGAUGAAUGACUCCUUGAAUUUCAAGCAACAUGGAAUGUAAAUCAGGGAACUAAUUAGCAGUGCUCGAGCUACAUGAAAUGGAAGUGUUAAGGUGCAACUCAGGACUGUGCAUGGUUAUAGAAAAGACUUGUGGCUUUGGAAUAUCUGCAUGCUCAUCUGUCUGCUUCAGAAACUGCGUGCCACACAGGAUCUGUACUGCUCCAAGAUACGAAUUCACAUCAUGGACCAAGCUUAUCAUAAAAGUUCCUUUGCCCCUGAAAAGCUAGUCUGCUUCAGGACCGCGUGACUCCAGUCAGAAGAGCCGGCAGGAUUUAUCACCCAGCCUGUGUGUACAGUGCUAAUGCAGCAGAGCCCUGAUUCCAGUGGCAGUGGGAGAGUGGCUUUGGGAGAUCUUUCAGAGAACGUGCUGGGGAAGGCACAUUCAUGCAUCUUGGAUUCAGCAAAUCCAAGGAGGGGGAGGCAGAAAGCUGGUUACCCAAGGUAACAUAGUGUGAGUCUGGAAUUACUGGGAUGUGCCAAGUAUGGUCAUUAGAGAUCUCCAAAUCACAAGGAAGGUCACCAGCAGCAAAUGGGUACAGCAAAGCUAAGCUGCUUCCCCCCAAAGCCUCACACAUCCAUCCAGACCUAGUCUGACUGAGUUCCUUGGAAGUGGAUGUAAGUGCCUGCAUGAAUAGAGUGAGCAAGACUUGUCCUUUUGUGAAAUAUUAUUGAUGAUAUUUAUACUCUGGUAACACUCAGGAACAGCUGAGGCCUCAGGAUAUUAGUGCAAACUGUAGAGUAAUUACAGUUUCUGCCUGAAAGAACAAACAACAAUCAGGGUUCUGUUCUGAAAAACAGCAUGCAGAAAUGAUGCUGGUAUCUACAUGGUCUUACUUGGCAAAUCAGGUAUGUAUUCAGAGUCACGUGUGCCAUAUACUUUAGUGACAUAAUAAACACCAAUUACUUCUUUUUCCUACUCUGA